RNAcentral lists this ribosomal RNA (915 nucleotides) under uncultured bacterium. RNAcentral describes it as "bacterial SSU rRNA". It matches the Rfam family "Bacterial small subunit ribosomal RNA", at positions 246 to 1155 of the family's 1533-position model. The record is from RNAcentral.
UUGUUGGUAAGGUAAAAGCUUACCAAGGCUUCGAUCAGUAGCUGGUCUGAGAGGACGACAGCCACACUGGGACUGAGACACGGCCCAGACUCCUACGGGAGGCAGCAGUGGGGAAUUUUGGACAAUGGGGGCAACCCUGAUCCAGCCAUGCCGCGUGAGUGAAGAAGGCCUUCGGGUUGUAAAGCUCUUUCAGCCGGAACGAAACGGUUACGGUUAAUACCCGUGACUACUGACGGUACCGGAAGAAGAAGCACCGGCUAACUACGUGCCAGCAGCCGCGGUAAUACGUAGGGUGCGAGCGUUAAUCGGAAUUACUGGGCGUAAAGCGUGCGCAGGUGGUUUUGUAAGUCAGAUGUGAAAGCCCCGGGCUCAACCUGGGAACUGCGUUUGAAACUACAAGACUAGAGUGUGGCAGAGGGGGGUGGAAUUCCGCGUGUAGCAGUGAAAUGCGUAGAGAUGUGGAGGAACACCGAUGGCGAAGGCAGCCCCCUGGGUCAACACUGACGCUCAGGCACGAAAGCAUGGGGAGCAAACAGGAUUAGAUACCCUGGUAGUCCAUGCCCUAAACGAUGUCAACUAGUUGUCGGGCCUUUACGGGCUUGGUAACGUAGCUAACGCGUGAAGUUGACCGCCUGGGGAGUACGAUCGCAAGAUCAAAACUCAAAUGAAUUGACGGGGACCCGCACAAGCGGUGGAUUAUGUGGAUUAAUUCGAUGCAACGCGAAAAACCUUACCUACCCUUGACAUGUAUCGAAGCCCGCAGAAAAGCGGGGGUGCCCGAAAGGGAACGAUAACACAGGUGCUGCAUGGCUGUCGUCAGCUCGUGUCGUGAGAUGUUGGGUUAAGUCCCGCAACGAGCGCAACCCUUGUCAUUAAUUGCCAUCAUUUAGUUGGGCACUUUAAUGAGACUGCCGG